UCUGAUGAGAAAGGCUUUGGCUUAACCGAAGAAGCGCAUCGGAAAACGGGCGACUUGAGUGCAGAAGAGGACAGUGGAACUCCAUGUGUAGCGGUGGAAUGCGUAGAUAUAUGGAAGAACACCAGUGGCGAAGGCGGCUGUCUGGUCUGCAACUGACGCUGAGGCUCGAAAGCAUGGGUAGCGAAC
RNAcentral lists this ribosomal RNA (186 nucleotides) under uncultured bacterium. RNAcentral describes it as "partial 16S ribosomal RNA". It matches the Rfam family "Bacterial small subunit ribosomal RNA", at positions 588 to 773 of the family's 1533-position model. The record is from RNAcentral.